Unclassified non-coding RNA from Pongo abelii (Sumatran orangutan), 137 nucleotides. It matches the Rfam family "Metazoan signal recognition particle RNA". Rfam says of the family: The signal recognition particle (SRP) is a universally conserved ribonucleoprotein. NCBI's taxonomy places the organism in Eukaryota, Metazoa, Chordata, Mammalia, Primates, Hominidae. The record is from Ensembl.
GCCAGGCAUGGUGGCGUGUGCCUGUAGUCCCAGCUACUUGGGAGGCUGAGGCAGGAGAAUUGCUUGAACCCGGGAGGCAGAGGCUGCAGUGUGCCACUGCACUCCAGCCUGGGCAACAGAGCGAGACUCUGUCUCAA